Molecule: ribosomal RNA, 1089 nt
Filed under: Klebsiella sp. RARE-31/09
Lineage: Bacteria; Pseudomonadati; Pseudomonadota; Gammaproteobacteria; Enterobacterales; Enterobacteriaceae
Description: bacterial SSU rRNA
Rfam family: Bacterial small subunit ribosomal RNA
Source: RNAcentral
GCUAAUUUAGCACAUAACGUCGCAAGACCAAAGUGGGGGACCUUCGGGCCUCAUUGCCAAUGCCAUCAGAUGUGCCCAGAUGGGAUUAGCUAGGUGGGGUAACGGCUCACCUAGGCGACGAUCCCUAGCUGGUCUGAGAGGAUGACCAGCCACACUGGAACUGAGACACGGUCCUCCUACGGGAGGCAGCAGUGGGGAAUAUUGCACAAUGGGCGCAAGCCUGAUGCAGCCAUGCCGCGUGUAUGAAGAAGGCCUUCGGGUUGUAAAGUACUUUCAGCGGGAAGGCGAUAAGGUUAAUAACCUUGUCGAUUGACGUUACCCGCAGAAGAAGCACCGGCUAACUCCGUGCCAGCCGCGGUAAUACGGAGGGUGCAAGCGUUAAUCGGAAUUACUGGGCGAGCGCACGUUGUCACAGGCGGUCUGUCAAGUCGGAUGUGAAAUCCCCGGGCUCAACCUGGUAAUGACCAGAACUGCAUUCGAAACUGGCAGGCUAGAGUCUUGUAGAGGGGGGUAGAAUUCCAGGUGUAGCGGUGAAAUGCGUAGAUCUGGAGGAUACGUGGCGAAGCUGCCCCUGGAGGUUGUGCCCCUGAGGCGUGGAUCGGCUUCCGGAGCUAACGCGUUAAAUCGACCGCCUGGGGAGUACGGCCGCAAGAAAACUCAAAUGAAUUGACGGGGGCCCGCACAAGCGGUGGAGCAUGUGGUUUAAUUCGAUGCAACGCGAAGAACCUUACCUGGUCUUGACAUCCACAGAACUUAGCAGAGAUGCUUUGGUGCGGGAACUGUGAGACAGGUGCUGCAUGGCUGUCGUCAGCUCGUGUUGUGAAAUGUUGGGUUAAGUCCCGCAACGAGCGCAACCUCCUUUGUUGCCAGCGGUCCGGCCGGGAACUCAAAGGAGACUGCCAGUGAUAAACUGGAGGAAGGUGGGGAUGACGUCAAGUCAUCAUGGCCCUUACGACCAGUUGAUCGGCUACACACGUGCUACAAUGGCAUAUACAAAGAGAAGCGACCUCGCGAGAGCAAGCGGACCUCAGUUGUCGUAGUCCGGAUUGGAGUCUGCACGACUCCAUGAAGUCGGGCUAGUAAUUGACU